GUGGGGAAUAUUGGACAAUGGGCGAAAGCCUGAUCCAGCCAUGCCGCGUGUGUGAAGAAGGUCUUCGGAUUGUAAAGCACUUUAAGUUGGGAGGAAGGGCAGUAAGUUAAUACCUUGCUGUUUUGACGUUACCGACAGAAUAAGCACCGGCUAACUCUGUGCCAGCAGCCGCGGUAAUACAGAGGGUGCAAGCGUUAAUCGGAAUUACUGGGCGUAAAGCGCGCGUAGGUGGUUCGUUAAGUUGGAUGUGAAAGCCCCGGGCUCAACCUGGGAACUGCAUCCAAAACUGGCGAGAUAGAGUACGGUAGAGGGUGGUGGAAUUUCCUGUGUAGCGGUGAAAUGCGUAGAUAUAGGAAGGAACACCAGUGGCGAAGGCGACCACCUGGACUGAUACUGACACUGAGGUGCGAAAGCGUGGGGAGCAAACAGGAUUAGAUACCCGGGUAGUCC
RNAcentral lists this ribosomal RNA (450 nucleotides) under uncultured bacterium. RNAcentral describes it as "partial 16S ribosomal RNA". It matches the Rfam family "Bacterial small subunit ribosomal RNA", at positions 354 to 796 of the family's 1533-position model. The record is from RNAcentral.